RNAcentral lists this ribosomal RNA (460 nucleotides) under uncultured bacterium. RNAcentral's name for it is "partial 16S ribosomal RNA". It matches the Rfam family "Bacterial small subunit ribosomal RNA", at positions 338 to 795 of the family's 1533-position model. The record is from RNAcentral.
CCUACGGGAGGCAGCAGUGAGGAAUAUUGGUCAAUGGGCGAGAGCCUGAACCAGCCAAGUAGCGUGAAGGAUGACUGCCCUACGGGUUGUAAACUUCUUUUAUAAGGGAAUAAAGUGAGGCACGUGUGCAUUUUUGUAUGUACUUUAUGAAUAAGGAUCGGCUAACCCCGUGCCAGCAGCCGCGGUAAUACGGAGGAUCCGAGCGUUAUCCGGAUUUAUUGGGUUUAAAGGGAGCGUAGGUGGAUUGUUAAGUCAGUUGUGAAAGUUUGGGGCUCAACCGUAAAAGUGCAGUUGAAACUGGCAGUCUUGAGUGCGGUAGAGGUGGGCGGAAUUCGUGGUGUAGCGGUGAAAUGCUUAGAUAUCACGAAGAACUCCGAUUGCGAAGGCAGCUAACUGGACUGCAACUGACGCUGAUGCGCGAAAGUGUGGGUAUCAAACAGGAUUAGAUACCCUGGUAGUC